This 75-nucleotide transfer RNA is filed under the name Clostridia bacterium. Its description in RNAcentral is "tRNA-Glu". It matches the Rfam family "tRNA". From Rfam's summary of the family: Transfer RNA (tRNA) molecules are approximately 80 nucleotides in length. Their secondary structure includes four short double-helical elements and three loops (D, anti-codon, and T loops). Lineage: Bacteria; Bacillati; Bacillota; Clostridia. The record is from RNAcentral.
GGCCCGUUGGUCAAGCGGUUAAGACGCGGCCCUCUCAAGGCCGAAUCAUGGGUUCGAUUCCCGUACGGGUCACCA